CUUUAUAAAACUCAGGGACUUUCUAUACUAACGGGACUCGUCUCUAUUGAUUUUAACUGAUUACUAAGCCGCCGGUUUAAAGCUACCACCCAACAAUAAACUUACUAGUUUCGUAUCUCUGAUUUACGAUGCUAUUGGUUAUUUGCGUAUUUCACAGUUCAUUGUAAUUAUAUAAUUAAUAUUAGUUGUUCAUAUCAAAUCUGAUUAAUAGCCAUUUAUGAUGACAAAAAAUAUAAGAUUUUGAAAGAAUGAUGAAUUAUUAAACUCAGACGUAUCGUUAGUAUAGAAAGUAUAUAAAUGUUUUAAAACGUUUAGGCUCAGUUCUGGAAAGACUUAGUAAAC
RNAcentral lists this long non-coding RNA (342 nucleotides) under Mytilus galloprovincialis (Mediterranean mussel). The record is from RNAcentral. Lineage: Eukaryota; Metazoa; Mollusca; Bivalvia; Mytilida; Mytilidae.